RNAcentral lists this ribosomal RNA (459 nucleotides) under uncultured bacterium. RNAcentral's name for it is "partial 16S ribosomal RNA". It matches the Rfam family "Bacterial small subunit ribosomal RNA", at positions 338 to 795 of the family's 1533-position model. The record is from RNAcentral.
CCUACGGGAGACAGCAGUGAGGAAUAUUGGUCAAUGGGCGGAAGCCUGAACCAGCCAAGUAGCGUGCAGGAUGACGGCCCUACGGGUUGUAAACUGCUUUUAUACGGGAAUAACGCGCCUUACGUGUAGGGCUUUGCAUGUACCGUAUGAAUAAGGACCGGCUAAUUCCGUGCCCGCAGCCGCGGUAUACGGAAGGUCCGGGCGUUAUCAGGAUUUAUUGGGUUUAAAGGGAGCGUAGGCCGGAUGUCAAGCGUGCUGUGAAAAGUGCGGGGUCAACCCGGGCCUUGCAGCGCGAACUGGCGUGCUUGAGUCCGCGGAAAGCAGGCGGAAUUCGUGGUGUAGCGGUGAAAUGCUUAGAUAUGACGAAGAACCCCGAUUGCGAAGGCAGCUUGCUGCAGCGGAACUGACGCUGAUGCUCGAAAGCGCGGGUAGCGAACAGGAUUAGAUACCCCAGUAGUC